This 497-nucleotide ribosomal RNA is filed under the name uncultured bacterium. Its description in RNAcentral is "partial 16S ribosomal RNA". It matches the Rfam family "Bacterial small subunit ribosomal RNA", at positions 28 to 507 of the family's 1533-position model. The record is from RNAcentral.
GAUGAACGCUGGCGGCGUGCCUAAUACAUGCAAGUCGAGCGAACAGACGAGGAGCUUGCUCCUCUGACGUUAGCGGCGGACGGGUGAGUAACACGUGGAUAACCUACCUAUAAGACUGGGAUAACUUCGGGAAACCGGAGCUAAUACCGGAUAAUAUAUUGAACCGCAUGGUUCAAUAGUGAAAGACGGUUUUGCUGUCACGUAUAGAUGGAUCCGCGCCGCAUUAGCUAGUUGGUAAGGUAACGGCUUACCAAGGCAACGAGGCGUAGCCGACCGGAGGGGGUGAUCGCCCACCCUGGAACUUGACCGCGGUCCAGACUCCUACGGGAGGCAGCAGUAGGGAAUCUUCCGCAAUGGGCGAAAGCCUGACGGAACAACGCCGCGUGAGUUAUGAAGGUCUUCGGAUCGUAAAACUCUGUUAUUAGGGAAGAACAAAUGUGUAAGUAACUAUGCACGUCUUGGCGGUACCUAAUCAGAAAGCCACGGCUAACUACGUG